RNAcentral lists this ribosomal RNA (255 nucleotides) under uncultured prokaryote. Its description in RNAcentral is "partial 16S ribosomal RNA". It matches the Rfam family "Bacterial small subunit ribosomal RNA", at positions 523 to 777 of the family's 1533-position model. The record is from RNAcentral.
AUACGUAGGGUGCAAGCGUUGUCCGGAAUUAUUGGGCGUAAAGAGCUCGUAGGCGGUCUGUUGCGUCGGCUGUGAAAACCCGGGGCUCAACCCCGGGCCUGCAGCCGAUACGGGCAGACUAGAGUUCGGCAGGGGAGACUGGAAUUCCUGGUGUAGCGGUGAAAUGCGCAGAUAUCAGGAGGAACACCGGUGGCGAAGGCGGGUCUCUGGGCCGAUACUGACGCUGAGGAGCGAAAGCGUGGGGAGCGAACAGGA